RNAcentral lists this ribosomal RNA (181 nucleotides) under uncultured bacterium. Its description in RNAcentral is "partial 16S ribosomal RNA". It matches the Rfam family "Bacterial small subunit ribosomal RNA", at positions 1320 to 1500 of the family's 1533-position model. The record is from RNAcentral.
AUGAAGUCGGAAUUGCUAGUAAUGGCAGGUCAGCAUACUGCCGUGAAUACGUUCCCGGGCCUUGUACACACCGCCCGUCACACCAUGAGAGUUGGAAAUACCCGAAGCCUGUGAGCUAACAGUAAUGAGGCAGCAGUCGAAGGUAGAGCCAAUGAUUGGGGUGAAGUCGUAACAAGGUAUC